Molecule: ribosomal RNA, 262 nt
Filed under: uncultured Streptococcaceae bacterium
Lineage: Bacteria; Bacillati; Bacillota; Bacilli; Lactobacillales; Streptococcaceae
Description: partial 16S ribosomal RNA
Rfam family: Bacterial small subunit ribosomal RNA
Source: RNAcentral
UACGUAGGUCCCGAGCGUUGUCCGGAUUUAUUGGGCGUAAAGCGAGCGCAGGCGGUUAGAUAAGUCUGAAGUUAAAGGCUGUGGCUUAACCAUAGUACGCUUUGGAAACUGUUUAACUUGAGUGCAAGAGGGGAGAGUGGAAUUCCAUGUGUAGCGGUGAAAUGCGUAGAUAUAUGGAGGAACACCGGUGGCGAAAGCGGCUCUCUGGCUUGUAACUGACGCUGAGGCUCGAAAGCGUGGGGAGCAAACAGGAUUAGAUACC